CCUACGGGAGGCAGCAGUGGGGAAUAUUGCGCAAUGGGCGAAAGCCUGACGCAGCGACGCCGCGUGAGGGAUGAAGGUCUUCGGAUCGUAAACCUCUGUCAGCAGGGAAGAACGGUCACUGUGCUAAUCAGCAGUGAAUUGACGGUACCUGCAAAGGAAGCACCGGCUAACUCCGUGCCAGCAGCCCCGGUAAUACGGAGGGUGCGGGCGUUAAUCGGAAUUACUGGGCGUAAAGCGCUCGUAGGUGGUAUGUCAAGUCAAGGGUGAAAUCCCCGCGCUCAACGAGGGAACUGCCUUUGAAACUGGCAAACUGGAGUGUGUGAGAGGAUAGUGGAAGUCUAGGUGUAGGAGUGAAAGCCGUAGAUAUCUGGAGGAACAUCAGUGGCGAAGGCGACUAUCUGGAACAUAACUGACGCUGAGGAGCGAAAGCGUGGGUAGCAAACAGGAUUAGAUACCCCAGUAGUC
RNAcentral lists this ribosomal RNA (465 nucleotides) under uncultured bacterium. RNAcentral describes it as "partial 16S ribosomal RNA". It matches the Rfam family "Bacterial small subunit ribosomal RNA", at positions 338 to 795 of the family's 1533-position model. The record is from RNAcentral.